GUGGCCCUACGGGGCGCAGCAGUGGGGAAUAUUGCACAAUGGGGGGAACCCUGAUGCAGCGACGCCGCGUGAGUGAAGAAGUAUUUCGGUAUGUAAAGCUCUAUCAGCAGGGAAGAAAUGACGGUACCUGAGUAAGAAGCACCGGCUAAGUACGUGCCAGCAGCCGCGGUAAUACGUAUGGUGCAAGCGUUAUCCGGAUUUACUGGGUGUAAAGGGAGCGCGGGCGGCACGGCAAGCCUGAUGUGAAAGCCCGCGGCCCAACCGCGGGACUGCAUUGGGAACUACCGGGCUGGAGUGCCGGAGAG
This 305-nucleotide ribosomal RNA is filed under the name uncultured bacterium. RNAcentral's name for it is "bacterial SSU rRNA". It matches the Rfam family "Bacterial small subunit ribosomal RNA", at positions 333 to 656 of the family's 1533-position model. The record is from RNAcentral.